CUACGGGAGGCAGCAGUGGGGAAUAUUGCACAAUGGGCGAAAGCCUGAUGCAGCGACGCCGCGUGCGGGAUGACGGCCUUCGGGUUGUAAACCGCUUUCAGCAGGGAAGAAGCGCAAGUGACGGUACCUGCAGAAGAAGCACCGGCUAACUACGUGCCAGCAGCCGCGGUAAUACGUAGGGUGCGAGCGUUGUCCGGAAUUAUUGGGCGUAAAGAGCUUGUAGGCGGUUUGUCGCGUCUGCUGUGAAAUCCCAGGGCUUAACCCUGGGCCUGCAGUGGGUACGGGCAGACUAGAGUGCGGUAGGGGAGAUCGGAAUUCCUGGUGUAGCGGUGAAAUGCGCAGAUAUCAGGAGGAACACCGGUGGCGAAGGCGGAUCUCUGGGCCGUAACUGACGCUGAGGAGCGAAAGCAUGGGUAGCGAACAGGAUUAGAAACCCUGGUAGUCC
This 445-nucleotide ribosomal RNA is filed under the name uncultured bacterium. RNAcentral describes it as "bacterial SSU rRNA". It matches the Rfam family "Bacterial small subunit ribosomal RNA", at positions 339 to 796 of the family's 1533-position model. The record is from RNAcentral.